UCUUCCACCACUGUAAUGGUGUAAUAACUCUCUCUCUCUCUCUCUCUCUCGCUAGCUGUGGGGGCCUGUGGUUCUUGUCAAUGACCAUACAAUUUCAUCAGAUUUGUCUCUAUUAUUUCUUUCCUUCUUUCUUUGGAAACUGAUCAUCCACCACCACUUUCCAUCCCUGCCAUUUCCGAUAACAACAAACAAGAAAGCAUCCUGCUUUCCUCCUUGUUCUCCUCUCUUCUCUUCUGUUAGUUAACAAUACAACAUCGGCUUUUUACAGUCAUUGGAUUGGACCUGCGUUUUUCCUCCAACGUACUAAAUGGCUUCUUCUAUGGUUCCGUCUAAGAAUUUUAAGAGAUCGCAAUCAAGAAAAUCACAUUCGUGGUGGUGGGAUAGUCAUAUCAGUCCGAAAAAUUCCAAGUGGCUUAUUGAGAAUCUUGAGGAGAUGGACCAGAACGUUAAGCGGAUGCUGAAGCUAAUUGAAGAUGAUGGAGAUUCAUUUGUUAAAAAGGCUGAGAUGUAUUAUCAGAAGAGACCAGAACUAAUUUCUCAUGUAGAGGAGUUCUACCGCAUGUAUCGAUCUCUGGCUGAACGUUAUGAUCACGUGACAGGAGAAUUAAGGAGGAGUAUUCCACCAGAUCUUCAAUCCCAGGGCUCCGGAAUUUCUGAUAUUGUCUCUGAACCACCUUCUCCUGCGCGUGAACAAAAACUAAGCCGCCAUAAAUCUGGCCCUCGAGCUGCUGGGUUUGAAUUCUUUCUGGGUUCCGGUGGUAGUAGCAGCGAUCAUCACCAGAAAGAAGGAGAUGAAUCAUCCACUUUGACAGAUUCAGAAUCAGAGUCCGAUGAUUCUUCAGUCAACAAUUACUCAAGUCUAUCAGGGAAUAGCGGUGACCAAGGACUGUCCAGGAAGAUAAUUGAUUUAGAAAUUGAGCUUCGUGAAACAAAAGAGAAGCUGCGGGUGCAGCAAGAUGAGAGUGUUGAUGGCUCAUUUAGGGGAGUGAGAAAAGAGGAUUUUGAUGAUACUCUUGCUAGAAUUGCAGGGUAUGAGCGAGAUCUGACAAAUGCAAAUCAGAGAAUACAGGUGUCAGAAGAAGAGGUUGCUAGAUUGAACAUUGAGCUUAAAAAAUAUAGGUCAUCUGAGGUCACUGAAGGUUUGCAAUCUGAGUUUGCAUUGUCCACUGAGAGCAAGGCGAUGACAAGGGAGGCUGAGCUGGAACCUGAGAUCAAUCAAGCUUCACAUCUUCAAGAAAGGGUUGAUGGGUCAGAAUCUGAAACUUUUGACUCCAAUGCUAAGAUUCAGUCACUAAUGGAAGAACUUAGGGUUGCUAAUGAGAGACUUCAGUUUUCAGAGAAAGAAAUUACCACUUUGAAAGGGCAAAUUGAGGGUGAUGGACCCUCUGAUAAAAUCAAUAAUUUGCAGGAGGAACUUGCAUUGGCUCACAAGGAGAUAAAUACGUUGAAAAAAAAGCUCAGCGUGGAAAAAAGGGAGGUCUCCAAGCUGCAAGAAAGAAUUUCCAGGUUGAAAAGUAGUCUCUCCGACCGGGAUCAUGAGGUGAGAGAUCUUAAAAUAGCAGUCUCUGAUGCUGAGCAGAAGAUUUUUCCAGAAAAAGCACAGAUUAAGGCUGAAAUGUCUAAAAUGAUAGAGGAGAAGACACGCUUGGAGGAGCAGCUGAAAGAGCAAGAAUCACAUGGCCGUUCUUUAGAGGAUGACAUUAGGAUGUUCCAGGCUGAAAAGGCAGAAAUGGAGCAAAGACUUCAUCGUGAGAUUCAGCAGUUAAAGGAAGACAUUGCUGAGAGAGACAAUCACAUAGAAAAAAUGGAUAAAAGCCUUGAUGUUUUAAAAUCUGAGAGAGAUGAGCUUAAUGUUAAAGUAAUUGCUCUUAAAGCGGAGGUAACUACAAGAGAUGAACGGAUUGAUCAAAUGGAUAGGCAUUUGCAACAGUUACACAUGGAGCAUGUGAAGCUGGUUUCUGGUGCUGAAGAGGCACGAAAACUAAUGGAUGUGUUAAGAUCAAAAGUUAAGGAUCUGGAGGAAGAAGUUGAGAGGCAAAGGUUUGUAAUCCUGGAAGGGGCAGAAGAGAAACGGGAGGCUAUAAGGCAACUGUGCCUCGCACUUGAACAUUACAGGAAUGAUUAUCAUACGCUUAGACAAGCUUUUGUCGGGCAUAAGAGAGUUCCAGUCUUGGCAACAUAAGUUAGGUUGUGGCUGCAAUGCAACUGCACUUCUGAUAGUGCGAGCGAGAGCCCCGGUCAGGUACUCAAUAGUGUAAUGAUGCAAUAUUAUUUAUUUCUUCACAUAUCUCAAGCUUGAGUUGAGUGAUGCCCAGGUUUACUGCUAUUAAUGGUUUGUAGUAGUCCUGUGUUAUUUCUUUGGUUUGUGUAGCAAACAUAAAAGGAGAGCUGUCAUGUCUUGGGGGGCCAUAAAAAGAAAUCCUGGAACAUCAAAAAGUAGCUGAGGAUUAUCGUAAACCUACUCAUGUUGUUUUGAUGGGUUGGUCUUGAUUCUCACCCGUACUUUUAAUCCCUGAAAUGGAGUUUUUAUUUUGUGCAAAA
This is an RNA transcript of Populus euphratica (Euphrates poplar), 2541 nucleotides long. It is a transcript of the gene named Kinase interacting (KIP1-like) family protein, with no coding region annotated. Lineage: Eukaryota; Viridiplantae; Streptophyta; Magnoliopsida; Malpighiales; Salicaceae. The record is from RefSeq and is a predicted model, not a curated record. The transcript is spliced from 5 exons.